RNAcentral lists this ribosomal RNA (388 nucleotides) under uncultured eukaryote. RNAcentral describes it as "partial 18S ribosomal RNA". It matches the Rfam family "Eukaryotic small subunit ribosomal RNA", at positions 592 to 976 of the family's 1831-position model. The record is from RNAcentral.
CAAUAGCGUAUAUUAAAGUUGUUGCAGUUAAAAAGCUCGUAGUUGGAUUUCUGAUCGAGACAUCAGGUCGGGUCCGAGAGGAUCAUGUACUUUGAUUUUGUUUUGAUCAUCCUUGGGGAGAGCAUUUCUGGCAUUCAGUUGUCGGGGUUGGGAUCCUCAUCGUUUACUGUGAAAAAAUUAGAGUGUUCAAAGCAGGCCUCGGCCUCUGAAUACAUUAGCAUGGAAUAAUAAGAUAGGACUUUGGUGGUCUAUUUUGUUGGUUUGCACGCCAAAGUAAUGAUUAAUAGGGAUAGUUGGGGGUAUUCGUAUUCAAUUGUCAGAGGUGAAAUUCUUGGAUUUAUGGAAGACGAACUACUGCGAAAGCAUUUACCAAGGAUGUUUUCAUUAA